RNAcentral lists this ribosomal RNA (354 nucleotides) under Triticum aestivum (bread wheat). RNAcentral's name for it is "partial small subunit ribosomal RNA". The record is from RNAcentral. Lineage: Eukaryota; Viridiplantae; Streptophyta; Magnoliopsida; Poales; Poaceae.
AUGGAAGCCCGUGAGCUCGAGAAUGUUCUUUCCUCUGCCAAGCGCCUCCCCCUGCUCCUGCCAAAGUUUCCUAUCAUGAACUUGGUUGAUCAUGAUGUUGUCUGCUUUGUGUUGAAUAAUAGAAACGACACUUUCUGGCUGGUUGAGGUCAAUCUGAGGAAGAAGGCGCUUGGGGCAGUCACCCUCUAUACCAACGAAGAAAAAGAAAACCAAGCAGCAGCAGAAGAACACCUGACCUGGGAUGACAUUGUCCGCAAUACCUUCUUCACCACCGUCUCCGUCAACCCCAUCUCCUUCAUCCCCAGCCAAUUCAUCAUGUACUUGGAUAGGCAUGCCAUCAAAAGCAUUUCUUAG